CAGUAGCCACGGUAAUACGGAGGAUCCGAGCGUUAUCCGGAAUUAUUGGGUUUAAAGGGUGCGUAGGCGGAUAGAUAAGUCAGUGGUGAAAGACGGUGGCUCAACCAUCGCAGUGCCGUUGAUACUGUUUAUCUUGAAUAUGGAUGAGGUAGGCGGAAUGUGGCAAGUAGCGGUGAAAUGCAUAGAUAUGCCACAGAACACCGAUUGCGAAGGCAGCUUACCAAGGCAAAAUUGACGCUGAGGCACGAAAGCGUGGGGAUCGAACAGGAUUAGAUACCCGUGUAGUCCCUGUCUCUUAUAA
Molecule: ribosomal RNA, 301 nt
Filed under: uncultured bacterium
Lineage: Bacteria
Description: partial 16S ribosomal RNA
Rfam family: Bacterial small subunit ribosomal RNA
Source: RNAcentral